This 468-nucleotide ribosomal RNA is filed under the name uncultured bacterium. RNAcentral's name for it is "bacterial SSU rRNA". It matches the Rfam family "Bacterial small subunit ribosomal RNA", at positions 29 to 506 of the family's 1533-position model. The record is from RNAcentral.
ACGAACGCUGGCGGCGUGCCUAACACAUGCAAGUCGAACGGAUCCCGAAGGGGUAGCAAUAUUUUUUCGGGAUUAGUGGCGGACGGGUGAGUAACACGUAGGCAACCCACCCUCAGGAGGGGGACAACUCAGGGAAACUUGAGUUAAUACCCCAUAAGACCACGUACUGGGAUGUUUGUGGUAAAAGGAGCGAUUCACCUGGGGAUGGGCCUGCGGCCUAUCAGGUAGUUGGUGGGGUAACGGCCCACCAAGCCUAUGACGGGUAGCCGGUCUGAGAGGACGAACGGCCACACUGGAACUGAGAUACGGUCCAGACUCCUACGGGAGGCAGCAGUGGGGAAUUUUGCACAAUGGGCGAAAGCCUGAUGCAGCGACGCCGCGUGGAGGAUGAAGGCCUUCGGGUUGUAAACUCCUUUUCUCGGGAACGAUGAUGACGGUACCCGAGGAAUAAGCCACGGCUAACUCUGU